AAUCUUUGACCACACUCAGAACAGACAAAUGCUUUUUGUCCUGAGUGUGUUAUCAUGUGUCUGCUCAGGUGGCCUUUUUGUCCAAACCUUUGACCACACUCAGAACAGACAAAUGCUUUUUGCCCUGUAUGAAUUAUCAUGUGUGUGUUCAGCUUGCCCUUUUCUCUAAAUCUUUUACCACACUCAGAACAGACAAAUGCUUUUUGCCCUGUAUGAAUCAUUAUGUGUGUGUUCAGCUUGCCCUUUUCUCCAAAUCUUUUACCACACUCAGAACAGACAAAUGCUUUUUGCCCUGUAUGAAUUAUCAUG
Long non-coding RNA from Thalassophryne amazonica, 309 nucleotides. RefSeq lists it as uncharacterized. The transcript has 3 exons. The record is from RefSeq and is a predicted model, not a curated record. Lineage: Eukaryota; Metazoa; Chordata; Actinopteri; Batrachoidiformes; Batrachoididae.